GGAGCAGUAGCUCAGUGGUAGAGCUUCCGCUUCGUACACGGGAAGACAUAGGUUGGAUUCCUGGCCGCUCUC
Molecule: transfer RNA, 72 nt
Organism: Toxocara canis (dog roundworm)
Lineage: Eukaryota; Metazoa; Nematoda; Chromadorea; Rhabditida; Toxocaridae
Rfam family: tRNA
About the family: Transfer RNA (tRNA) molecules are approximately 80 nucleotides in length.
Source: Rfam